AUGCCGAAAGAAGACCAAGGGCAAGACGGGGCCCCAGCCCCUGCUAUCUUGAAGCAACAGGCCAAGAAAGUGGUGAAUCCCCUGUUGAGUAAAGGCCUAAGAAUUCUGGCACUGGACAGGACAUCCAGCCCAAAAGGGACCUCACCCACUUUGUGAAAUGGCCCCACUAUGUCAGGCUGCAGCAGCAAAGAGUUAUCCUCUACAAGAGCCUAAAAGUGCCUCCUGUGAUGAACCAGUUCACCCAGGCCCUGGGACCACCAAACAGCUACUCAACUACAUAAGCUGGCCCAUAAUACAGACCAGAGACAAAGCAAGAGAAGAGGCAGAGACUUGGCCCAGGCUGAGAAGAAAGCUGUUGGCAAAGGGGAUGUCCCCACUAAGAGACCACCUGUCCUUCAAGCUGGGGUUAACACCGUCACCACCUUGGUGGAGAAGAAGAAGGCUCAGCUGGCGGUGACUGCACAUGACGUGGAUCCCAUCAAGCUGGUUGUCUUCCUGCCUGCCCUGUCUCAUAAAAUGGGGGUCCCUGACUGCGCUGUCAAGGGAAAGGCAAGACUGGUUCACAGGAUGACCCACACCACCAUCACCUUCACACAGAUUAACUCGGAAGACAAAAGGGCUUUGGCUAAGAUGGUGGAAGCUAUCAGGACCAAUUACAAUGACAGACACGAUGAGAUCUGCUGUCACUGGGGGGGCAAUGUCCUUGGUCCCAAGUCUGUGGCUCACACUGCCAAGCUGGAAAAGGCAAAGGCUAAAGAACCUGCCACUAAACUGGAUUAA
This 780-nucleotide long non-coding RNA is filed under the name Homo sapiens (human). Its description in RNAcentral is "non-protein coding lnc-IL20RA-4:1". Lineage: Eukaryota; Metazoa; Chordata; Mammalia; Primates; Hominidae. The record is from RNAcentral.